GCGGUCGUGGCGGAAUUGGUAGACGCGCUGGGUUUAGGUUCCAGUGCCGCAAGGUGUGAGAGUUCGAGUCUCUCCGACCGCA
RNAcentral lists this transfer RNA (82 nucleotides) under Teredinibacter turnerae T7901. It matches the Rfam family "tRNA". From Rfam's summary of the family: Transfer RNA (tRNA) molecules are approximately 80 nucleotides in length. Their secondary structure includes four short double-helical elements and three loops (D, anti-codon, and T loops). The record is from Rfam by way of RNAcentral. Lineage: Bacteria; Pseudomonadati; Pseudomonadota; Gammaproteobacteria; Cellvibrionales; Cellvibrionaceae.